Molecule: ribosomal RNA, 344 nt
Filed under: Salmonella enterica subsp. enterica serovar Derby
Lineage: Bacteria; Pseudomonadati; Pseudomonadota; Gammaproteobacteria; Enterobacterales; Enterobacteriaceae
Also listed under: 3 other names
Description: partial 16S ribosomal RNA
Rfam family: Bacterial small subunit ribosomal RNA
Source: RNAcentral
CUGACGAGUGGCGGACGGGUGAGUAAUGUCUGGGAAACUGCCUGAUGGAGGGGGAUAACUACUGGAAACGGUGGCUAAUACCGCAUAACGUCGCAAGACCAAAGAGGGGGACCUUCGGGCCUCUUGCCAUCAGAUGUGCCCAGAUGGGAUUAGCUUGUUGGUGAGGUAACGGCUCACCAAGGCGACGAUCCCUAGCUGGUCUGAGAGGAUGACCAGCCACACUGGAACUGAGACACGGUCCAGACUCCUACGGGAGGCAGCAGUGGGGAAUAUUGCACAAUGGGCGCAAGCCUGAUGCAGCCAUGCCGCGUGUAUGAAGAAGGCCUUCGGGUUGUAAAGUACUU